Molecule: ribosomal RNA, 253 nt
Filed under: uncultured bacterium
Lineage: Bacteria
Description: partial 16S ribosomal RNA
Rfam family: Bacterial small subunit ribosomal RNA
Source: RNAcentral
UACGGGGGGGGCAAGCGUUGUUCGGAUUUACUGGGCGUAAAGGGCGCGUAGGCGGCAAUUCAAGUCAUCUGUGAAAUCUCCGGGCUUAACUCGGAACGGUCAGAUGAUACUGCUUUGCUAGAGUGCGGAAGGGGCAAUCGGAAUUCUUGGUGUAGCGGUGAAAUGCGUAGAUAUCAAGAGGAACACCUGAGGUGAAGACGGGUUGCUGGGCCGACACUGACGCUGAUGCGCGAAAGCCAGGGGAGCAAACGGG